RNAcentral lists this ribosomal RNA (812 nucleotides) under uncultured bacterium. RNAcentral describes it as "bacterial SSU rRNA". It matches the Rfam family "Bacterial small subunit ribosomal RNA", at positions 636 to 1447 of the family's 1533-position model. The record is from RNAcentral.
UNUGACUUGAGUGCAGAAGGGGAGAGUGGAAUUCCAUGUGUAGCGGUGAAAUGCGUAGAUAUAUGGAGGAACACCAGUGGCGAAAGCGGCUCUCUGGUCUGUCACUGACGCUGAGGCUNGAAAGCGUGGGUAGCGAACAGGAUUAGAUACCCUGGUAGUCCACGCCGUAAACGAUGAGUGCUAGGUGUUAGGCCCUUUCCGGGGCUUAGUGCCGGAGCUAACGCAAUAAGCACUCCGCCUGGGGAGUACGACCGCAAGGUUGAAACUCAAAGGAAUUGACGGGGGCCCGCACAAGCGGUGGAGCAUGUGGUUUAAUUCGAAGCAACGCGAAGAACCUUACCAGGUCUUGACAUCCCGAUGCUAUUCUUAGAGAUAGGAAGUUACUUCGGUACAUCGGAGACAGGUGGUGCAUGGUUGUCGUCAGCUCGUGUCGUGAGAUGUUGGGUUAAGUCCCGCAACGAGCGCAACCCUUAUUGUUAGUUGCCAUCAUUAAGUUGGGCACUCUAGCGAGACUGCCGGUAAUAAACCGGAGGAAGGUGGGGAUGACGUCAAAUCAUCAUGCCCCUUAUGACCUGGGCUACACACGUGCUACAAUGGUCGGUACAACGAGUUGCGAGCCGGUGACGGCAAGCUAAUCUCUGAAAGCCGAUCUCAGUUCGGAUUGGAGGCUGCAACUCGCCUCCAUGAAGUCGGAAUCGCUAGUAAUCGCGGAUCAGCACGCCGCGGUGAAUACGUUCCCGGGCCUUGUACACACCGCCCGUCACACCACGAGAGUUUGUAACGCCCGAAGUCGGUGAGGUANCCUUUUAGGG